RNAcentral lists this transfer RNA (75 nucleotides) under Geodermatophilus sp. Leaf369. RNAcentral's name for it is "tRNA-Val". It matches the Rfam family "tRNA". From Rfam's summary of the family: Transfer RNA (tRNA) molecules are approximately 80 nucleotides in length. The record is from RNAcentral. Lineage: Bacteria; Bacillati; Actinomycetota; Actinomycetes; Geodermatophilales; Geodermatophilaceae. RNAcentral also lists the same sequence under 2 other names.
GGGCGAUUGGCUCAGCGGUAGAGCGCUUCGUUCACACCGAAGAGGUCACUGGUUCGAUCCCAGUAUCGCCCACCA